Molecule: ribosomal RNA, 454 nt
Filed under: uncultured bacterium
Lineage: Bacteria
Description: partial 16S ribosomal RNA
Rfam family: Bacterial small subunit ribosomal RNA
Source: RNAcentral
ACGGGAGGCAGCAGUGAGGAAUAUUGGUCAAUGGGCGGAAGCCUGAACCAGCCAUGCCGCGUGAAGGAAUAAGGCCCUAUGGGUCGUAAACUUCUUUUGAGCGGGAGCAAUAAGGUCCACGUGUGGUCCGAUGAGAGUACCGUUCGAAUAAGCAUCGGCUAACUCCGUGCCAGCAGCCGCGGUAAUACGGAGGAUGCAAGCGUUAUCCGGAUUUAUUGGGUUUAAAGGGUGCGUAGGCGGACUGACAAGUCAGAGGUGAAAGCCCUGCGCUCAACGCGGGAACUGCCUUUGAUACUGAUGGGCUUGAAUUCGGAUGCCGUGGGAGGAAUGAGUAGUGUAGCGGUGAAAUGCAUAGAUAUUACUCAGAACACCGAUUGCGAAGGCAUCUCACGAAUCCGACAUUGACGCUGAGGCACGAAAGCGUGGGGAUCAAACAGGAUUAGAUACCCUGGUA